This 467-nucleotide ribosomal RNA is filed under the name uncultured bacterium. RNAcentral describes it as "bacterial SSU rRNA". It matches the Rfam family "Bacterial small subunit ribosomal RNA", at positions 329 to 792 of the family's 1533-position model. The record is from RNAcentral.
UGCCAGACUCCUACGGGAGGCAGCAGUGAGGAAUAUUGGUCAAUGGGCGCGAGCCUGAACCAGCCAAGUCGCGUGAGGGAGGACGGCCCUACGGGUUGUAAACCUCUUUUGCCGGGGAGCAACGGGCGUCACGUGUGGCGUCACUGAGAGUACCCGGAGAAAAAGCAUCGGCUAACUCCGUGCCAGCAGCCGCGGUAAUACGGAGGAUCCAAGCGUUAUCCGGAUUUAUUGGGUUUAAAGGGUGCGUAGGCGGAUUGAUAAGUUAGAGGUGAAAUGUCCGAGCUCAACUCGGGAACUGCCUCUAAUACUGUUGAUCUAGAGAGUAGAUGCGGCAGGCGGAAUGUAUGGUGUAGCGGUGAAAUGCUUAGAGAUCAUACAGAACACCGAUUGCGAAGGCAGCUUACCAAUCUAUAUCUGACGUUGAGGCACGAAAGCGUGGGGAGCAAACAGGAUUAGAUACCCUAGUA